UACGUAGGGGGCGAGCGUUGUCCGGAAUGACUGGGCGUAAAGGGCGCGUAGGCGGAUUUAUAAGUUAGGAGUGAAAUUACAUUUUUCAAGGAUGGAACUGCUUUUAAUACUGUAGGGCUAGAGUGCAGAAGAGGUAAGCGGAAUUCCCAGUGUAGCGGUGAAAUGCGUAGGGAUUGGGAAGAACACCAGUGGCGAAGGCGGCUUACUGGGCUGUAACUGACGCUGAGGCGCGAAAGCGUGGGGAGCGAAC
Molecule: ribosomal RNA, 250 nt
Filed under: uncultured prokaryote
Description: partial 16S ribosomal RNA
Rfam family: Bacterial small subunit ribosomal RNA
Source: RNAcentral